Molecule: non-coding RNA, 30 nt
Filed under: Xenopus tropicalis (tropical clawed frog)
Lineage: Eukaryota; Metazoa; Chordata; Amphibia; Anura; Pipidae
Also listed under: 1 other name
Source: RNAcentral
UGGAUUCCUCGCUUUGACUGUCUUCCAUGU